This is a long non-coding RNA of Astyanax mexicanus (Mexican tetra), 698 nucleotides long. RefSeq lists it as uncharacterized. Lineage: Eukaryota; Metazoa; Chordata; Actinopteri; Characiformes; Acestrorhamphidae. The record is from RefSeq and is a predicted model, not a curated record. The transcript has 4 exons.
UAAAGUGGAGUGUUGUAGAUUAAGGUAGAGUGAGGUAGAGUAAAGUACAGUGAGGUAGAGUGUGGUAGAUUGAGGUAGAGCAAUAUAGAGUGUGAUAAAUUGAGGUAAAGUGAAGUAGAGCAAGGUAGAGUGUGGUAAAUUGAGGUAGCGUGAGGUAAAGUGUUGUAGAUUAAGGUAGAGUGGGGUAGAUUGAGGUAGAGUGAGGUAGAGUGUGGUAGAUUGAGGUAGAGUGAGGUAGAGUGUUGUAGAUUAAGGUAGAGUGAGGUAGAGUGUGGUAGAUUGAGGUAGAGUGUGGUAGAUUGAGGUAGAGUGAGGUAGAGUGUUGUAGAUUAAGGUAGAGUGAGGUAGAGUGUGGUAGAUUGAGGUAGAGUGUGGUAGAUUGAGGUAGAGUGAGGUAGAGUGUUGUAGAUUAAGGUAGAGUGAGGUAGAGUGUGGUAGAUUGAGGUAGAGUAUGGUAAAUUGAGGUAGAGUGAGGUAGACAGUUGUAGAUUAAGGUAGAGUGAGGUAGAGUGUGGUAGAUUGAGGUAAAGUGAGGUAGAGUGUGGUAGAUUGAGGUAGAGUGAGGUAGAGUGUAGAUUAAGGUAGAGUGAGGUAGAGUGUGGUAGAUUGAGGUAGAGUGAGGUAGAGUGUUGUAGAUUAAGGUAGAGUGAGGUAGAGUGUGGUAGAUUGCGGUAGAGUGUGGUAGAUUGAGGUAGAGU